RNAcentral lists this ribosomal RNA (648 nucleotides) under Triticum aestivum (bread wheat). RNAcentral's name for it is "partial small subunit ribosomal RNA". The record is from RNAcentral. Lineage: Eukaryota; Viridiplantae; Streptophyta; Magnoliopsida; Poales; Poaceae.
AUGACCAGAGCUUGGAGAAGCAAUUACCAUAGAAUAUCACAGGUAUCUAGGUCGAUGUUCAUGGCGCAUUUCAGAACUUUAGAUGCUAUGAUGUUUGUUUUUACAAGGCAGCCUUGGAUUAUGGGUUCUGAUAAUCUACUGCUUCAGUGGCUUGAUCCUGAGGAUGAAGCAAAAGAGAAGGGAAAAUAUUGUUUCAACACUAUAUAUGUGACUGUCAGAAUUUAUGGAGUCCCAACAAGAGUGGGAGAGCCCUCUGAAUUCCAUCAUUUGCACCAAGGAAUGUUAUUUACCAGAGCUAAGUAUAUGUGGGGGACUGCCAAGUUACAAAUCAAUGCUGCUAUUAUGGACAGAAUUAUGGUCACUUUUCCAAAUGAAUCAUUUGCCUUGGCCUAUCUGUUUUAUGAGAAGAUUGGAAGGAUUUGCUAUUUUUGUGGAAUUAUGUUCCACAAUGUUCAGGGAUGCACUCUUAGGAAUCAGAUUACCUUGGAAAGGCACAAAAGGGGAGUUUCUGCUAGGGAUGUUCCAUCAUAGAGAGUUGGAGAGUGGAUUACUGAUCCGGAGCUUAUCCCGCAAUUUGAUUCUACACAUGGAAGCUCUUUAAAUCAUGGGUUAAAUAUAUUUCAGAAUCCACAACUCAUAAGAUUUUAG